ACUCAAAGGAAUAGACGGGGGCCCGCACAAGCGGCGGAGCAUGUGGCUUAAUUCGAUGCAACGCGAAGAACCUUACCAAGGCUUGACAUGCGCGGGAAGUCAUCAGAGAUGGUGGCGCCUUCGGGCUCGCGUGCAGGUGGUGCAUGGUUGUCGUCAGCUCGUGUCGUGAGAUGUUGGGUUAAGUCCCGCAACGAGCGCAACCCUCGUUCUGUGUUGCCAGCACGUUAUGGUGGGGACUCACAGGAGACUGCCGGGGUCAACUCGGAGGAAGGUGGGGAUGAGGUCAAAUCAUCAUGCCCCUUAUGUCUUGGGCUGCACACAUGCUACAAUGGCCGGUACAAAGGGCUGCGAUACCGCGAGGUUGAGCGAAUCCCGGAAAGCCGGUCUCAGUUCGGAUUGGGGUCUGCAACUCGACCCCAUGAAGUCGGAGUCGCUAGUAAUCGCAGAUCAGCAACGCUGCGGUGAAUACGUUCCCGGGCCUUGCACACACCGCCCGU
RNAcentral lists this ribosomal RNA (497 nucleotides) under uncultured bacterium. Its description in RNAcentral is "partial 16S ribosomal RNA". It matches the Rfam family "Bacterial small subunit ribosomal RNA", at positions 899 to 1397 of the family's 1533-position model. The record is from RNAcentral.